RNAcentral lists this ribosomal RNA (508 nucleotides) under uncultured bacterium. RNAcentral's name for it is "partial 16S ribosomal RNA". It matches the Rfam family "Bacterial small subunit ribosomal RNA", at positions 28 to 507 of the family's 1533-position model. The record is from RNAcentral.
GACGAACGCUGGCGGCGUGCUUAACACAUGCAAGUCGAACGGGCCUUGUCCCCUUUUUUUUUGGGGGUGGGGUUAGUGGCGAACGGGUGAGUAACACGUGAGUAACCUGCCCCUCACUUCUGGAUAACCGCUUGAAAGGGUGGCUAAUACGGGGUGUUCUGGCCUGCUCGCAUGGGUGGGUUUGGAAAGAUUUGACCGGUUUUGGUUGUUUUGGUGGGGGAUGGGCUCGCGGCCUAGCAGCUGGUUGGUGGGGUGAUGGCCUGCCAAGGCGGUGACGGGUAGCCGGCCUGAGGGGGUGGAGGGGCACUGUGGGGCUGAGACGCGGCCCGGACUCCUACGGACGGCAGUAGUGGGGAAUAUUGCACGAUGGGCGGAAGCCUGAAGCAGCGACGCAGCGUGAGGGAUGGCGGCCUUCGGGUUGUGAACCUCUUUCGCGAGUGAAAAAGGUCCUGCUCUUUGUGGUGGGGUUGACGGUGGAUGGGUUAAUGAAGCGCCGGCUAACUACGUG